CGGGUUUACUCCUGGAUAUUACCGUUGGUCCGACCGAAGCCGGACGACGUUUGGUGUCUGAUUCGGUAUGAAUCGGGAGCACCAUCUGCGUAGGUUUGGAAAUCCUUUUUUAAGGCUUGCGCCACCUACGGUCUUGGAUAGCCCCCGCCAGGCAGGGACCCCAAUAGUUGCGAGCGACGGUGAACCGGCGCCCGA
RNAcentral lists this small RNA (195 nucleotides) under Pseudomonas kuykendallii. RNAcentral's name for it is "Pseudomonas sRNA P27". It matches the Rfam family "Pseudomonas sRNA P27". Lineage: Bacteria; Pseudomonadati; Pseudomonadota; Gammaproteobacteria; Pseudomonadales; Pseudomonadaceae. The record is from Rfam by way of RNAcentral.